RNAcentral lists this unclassified non-coding RNA (212 nucleotides) under Hevea brasiliensis (rubber tree). Lineage: Eukaryota; Viridiplantae; Streptophyta; Magnoliopsida; Malpighiales; Euphorbiaceae. The record is from RNAcentral.
GUUAUUUGAGUUUCAAUUUCACCUUCUCAAAAUAAAUAAAUAAUUAAAAACCCUUCAGCUUCUCAAAUUAUAGUAUCGAAAAUAGAUGGAUAUUUUAAAUUUUGUUUUAGAUUGUGGAUGUGAUUUUUCUAAUUAUUUUAACUUUUACUACUAUCAUUUCAAAUUAUUUUGAAGGUUACUUGAAUUUGAACAUAUUCGACCAUUAAAAAUUU